This 864-nucleotide long non-coding RNA is filed under the name Oryza brachyantha (malo sina). Its description in RNAcentral is "long non-coding RNA (OBRA_LNC000038)". The record is from RNAcentral. Lineage: Eukaryota; Viridiplantae; Streptophyta; Magnoliopsida; Poales; Poaceae.
CGCGGCAGCCGGCCGAAUCGACCGGCGGCUUGGUUUGUUGCUUUUGCCCACCGGCCGGGAACGACGGACGGACGUAGCUAUCAGACCAGCCUGAUUAGAUUAGCGUUAGCGGGCGUGUCAGACUCGACCGAGCAGGGCGCGCGGCGUCGCCGUCGAUCGCCCGCCGUGGCCCGCCCGGGCGGGCCUGCCCGGGCGGACAGGGCAGGCAGGCAUGCGGGGGCCGGGGAGGACAACGGCGCGACUGUUACUUCCCUCCGCCAAAGGGGCAUGACGACGACGUCGACGUGAGGUCAAGGUUUAUCUAAUCGGGAGGAUCGAGGUGUCACGCUAGCUAGUGCUGGUAUCGAAAUUUUGAUUUGUUUCUUUAACGACGGGUUUGUUCGCAGGGAUGUGAUGAGUUGGGUCAAAGUUAUUUUAUUUUUGCUACCGUUUAUUUUAUGGACUAGGUAGCAUGAAUUGGAUUCAGCAGCGAAUGUUCUCUGUAGAUGCUGGAUGAACGGGUUCGUUAAAUUUGGAUGAACCGGUCAGUCUCAAGUCGAGCACAUGGGGGAGAGAGGAAAUCAUACAUAGCCAUCUCAUCUCCGUCCUUCGAACCAAACAUUGAUAUAUUCACUCCAUCACAUCUAAUCUUUUCAAUCAAACAAAAAACACAACUCAUUCCAUGUAACCAAACAGAAAAAUAGGACCAAUCUAUUAUACAAUCGGAUUCAGUCUAUCCCAUCUUAUCCACGAACUAAACAUAUCCUAAUUUUCUUUUGAACCUGCUAUGGCUACCGGGCUCUAGCUAUUACCAUACUCCUUUCGUCAUAACGCUUUAUUACGCAUACAUGGAUCAUUUUUGGGAAAUAUAUUUGUAACAUGCAA